Molecule: ribosomal RNA, 253 nt
Filed under: uncultured bacterium
Lineage: Bacteria
Description: partial 16S ribosomal RNA
Rfam family: Bacterial small subunit ribosomal RNA
Source: RNAcentral
GACGUAGGAUGCAAGCGUUGUCCGGAUUUAUUGGGCGUAAAGAGUUCGUAGGUUGUGUUUCAAGUCUUAUGUGAAAUAAUAGAGCUUAACUCUAUCUCCGCAUAAGAUACUGAAACGCUAGAGUAAGGUAGGGGUCAGAAGAAUUCCUGGUGUAGCGGUGAAAUGCGUAGAUAUCAGGAGGAACACCGGUGGCGAAAGCGUCUGACUGGGCCUUUACUGACACUGAGGAACGAAAGCUAGGGGAGCGAAAGGG